CAGUAAAUUAAAUUCAGUUGAACGGACAGAAACGAUGUAGACACUAAAGAAGACAGAGUAAAGAUGAUAAGAUGAUGAUGUGAUUUUUGUUAUUAUUGUUUAAUUGUAACAAUGAUGAUCGGCGAUGAUGAAGAUUAACAUUUUCUUUUGUUCAAGUUAAUCCAUUGGAAGUUCAUCUUUGAAUAACCGGAUUGAGUUUGAAAGAGAAAAGAACAACAAAAAAAAGGUAAACAAACCAAACCAACGGCGAUCACAUUGAUGACCAACCAGAGAUUUUAUCGUUUCAACUGAUUGUAAUUAACUUUUAAUUUUUUCUUCUUUCGAAAAUUAAUUUCUUCUAAUUGUGAUUGUGAUUGUGAUUACCCUUAAUUUGGUUUUCUAUCAACUUAAAUGUGUUUAUAUUUAGAGGCCUAAGUGGCUGUUGAUGUUUUCGUAGGUUAACAUGUCAACUAACAACAACAAGUGGAUUGGUUGUUAUGGUCAACAAGGAGUUGAUUUUGUUUCCAUUUUUGGUUAAUUAACUAAUUAUAUUACAUUAAAUUUGGAAACAAUUUAAAUCACUUUAAUUUUCAUAAUUAAACAAGUAACUGGUUCACUUUUUCCCGAUGAGAGUAAAAAUUUAAUCUUGGUACGAACCUGUGGAAACCAUGGAGCGUUAAUUGUUA
Long non-coding RNA from Panonychus citri (citrus red mite), 665 nucleotides. RefSeq lists it as uncharacterized. The record is from RefSeq and is a predicted model, not a curated record. The transcript is spliced from 3 exons. Lineage: Eukaryota; Metazoa; Arthropoda; Arachnida; Trombidiformes; Tetranychidae.